This 833-nucleotide ribosomal RNA is filed under the name uncultured Methanocalculus sp. Its description in RNAcentral is "bacterial SSU rRNA". It matches the Rfam family "Archaeal small subunit ribosomal RNA", at positions 29 to 870 of the family's 1478-position model. The record is from RNAcentral. Lineage: Archaea; Methanobacteriati; Methanobacteriota; Methanomicrobia; Methanomicrobiales; Methanocalculaceae.
GCUAUCAGGGUUUGACUAAGCCAUGCGAGUCGAGAGGUGUAAGACCUCGGCAUACUGCUCAGUAACACGUGGAUAAUCUGCCCUCAGGUGAGGAAUAAUCCCGGGAAACUGGGGCUAAUGCCUCAUAGGAGACGGGUGCUGGAAUGCUCUGUCUCCCAAAGGUCCGCCGCCUGAGGAUGAGUCUGCGUCCGAUUAGGUUGUUGUUGGGGUAACGGCCCAACAAGCCAUUGAUCGGUACGGGUUGUGGGAGCAAGAGCCCGGAGAUGGAUUCUGAGACAUGAAUCCAGGCCCUACGGGGCGCAGCAGGCGCGAAAACUUUACAAUGCGAGCAAUCGUGAUAAGGAAACCCUGAGUGCCUGUCAAUGCAGGCUGUUCUGGUGUCUAACACGCACCAGGAGAAAGGGCGGGGCAAGACCGGUGCCAGCCGCCGCGGUAAUACCGGCUGCUCGAGUGAUAGCCGCUUUUACUGGGCUUAAAGCGUUCGUAGCUUGGUUGUCAAGUCUCUGGGGAAAUCUUCUGGCUUAACCAGAAGGCGUCUCAGGGAAACUGGCGACCUAGGAACCGGGAGAGGUGAGACGUACUUCGGGGGUAGGAGUGAAAUCUUGUAAUCCCCGAGGGACGACCGAUGGCGAAGGCAUCUCACCAGAACGGCUUCGACAGUGAGGGACGAAAGCUGGGGGAGCAAACCGGAUUAGAUACCCGGGUAGUCCCAGCCGUAAACGAUGUGCGUUAGGUGUGUCGGUGACCACGAGUCGCCGAGGUGCCGAAGGGAAACCGUGAAACGCACCGCCUGGGAAGUACGGUCGCAAGGCUGAAACUUAAAGGAAUUGGCG